RNAcentral lists this ribosomal RNA (255 nucleotides) under uncultured bacterium. RNAcentral describes it as "partial 16S ribosomal RNA". It matches the Rfam family "Bacterial small subunit ribosomal RNA", at positions 526 to 779 of the family's 1533-position model. The record is from RNAcentral.
CGUAGGGUGCAAGCGUUAUCCGGAAUUAUUGGGCGUAAAGAGCUCGUAGGCGGUUUGUCGCGUCUGCUGUGAAAACUGGGGGCUCAACCCCCAGCCUGCAGUGGGUACGGGCAGACUAGAGUGCGGUAGGGGAGAUUGGAAUUCCUGGUGUAGCGGUGGAAUGCGCAGAUAUCAGGAGGAACACCGAUGGCGAAGGCAGAUCUCUGGGCCGUAACUGACGCUGAGGAGCGAAAGGGGUGGGGAGCAAACAGGCUU